This is a non-coding RNA of Gasterosteus aculeatus aculeatus (three-spined stickleback), 547 nucleotides long. Lineage: Eukaryota; Metazoa; Chordata; Actinopteri; Perciformes; Gasterosteidae. The record is from RefSeq and is a predicted model, not a curated record.
GGGGGGGGGUGUUCAUAUUCAGUGAACUUGUGUGCGUGCUAGAAGGGCGCGCGAGAUUCAGUGAAUUGGGAAUAGGGUCGGUCCUCCUGGAGGAACAUGGGACUGGAUUCUUCCAGCUGGAUGGAGGCUGCUGUCAGUAACUCCAAAGACCUGAAGCUCACCUGAGACACAAAGCCACAUCUUCCCUGAGUGGACUUUGAUCUCCAUGUAAACAUGGAGACUAAUGUUGAUCAAUGAGAUACACAAAGAGACUCACAGCGAGCAGAGCGGGGAGCAGAAGUCGUCCUCUGAGCGUCACCUGCAGCCCUCUGGAGGCCGGCAGGUUGAGUUCGCACAGGACCACCAGGCUCCCACUGUUACUGAGGUUCUACACGGACAGAGGAGGAAGAGCUCAGCUGUCUCUCUGAGGCGAUGAACCUGAGACCCGUUCUGUGUGAGACGUCUUACCAGCUGAGACAGGCUGGAGAAGAGGAGGUUGGAGGAGGCGGAUAUGUUGAUGAAGGCUCCGUAAGCGUUCUCUCCCUGAUUCUCCAGUCGGACGGACACC